UUGACCUCAAAUCAGGUAGGACUACCCGCUGAACUUAAGCAUAUCAAUAAGCGGAGGAAAAGAAACUAACAAGGAUUCCCCUAGUAACUGCGAGUGAAGCGGGAAAAGCUCAAAUUUAAAAUCUGGCAGUCUUUGGCUGUCCGAGUUGUAAUCUAGAGAAGUAUUAUCCGCGCUGGACCGUGUACAAGUCUCCUGGAAUGGAGCGUCAUAGAGGGUGAGAAUCCCGUCUUUGA
RNAcentral lists this ribosomal RNA (233 nucleotides) under Laccaria laccata. Its description in RNAcentral is "partial 28S ribosomal RNA". It matches the Rfam family "Eukaryotic large subunit ribosomal RNA", at positions 1 to 230 of the family's 3401-position model. The record is from RNAcentral. Lineage: Eukaryota; Fungi; Basidiomycota; Agaricomycetes; Agaricales; Hydnangiaceae.